Molecule: ribosomal RNA, 1242 nt
Filed under: metagenome
Description: bacterial LSU rRNA
Rfam family: Bacterial large subunit ribosomal RNA
Source: RNAcentral
UGAAUACGAGAUGCUACGGCGUCGAAGCAGUCUAUGUCAUACUUCCAAGAAAAGCUCGCACUGUCAUAAACAAAUAAUGCCUGUACCAUAACCGACACAGGUGGGUAGGUAGAGUAUACUAAGGGGCGCGAGAUAACUCUCUCUAAGGAACUCGGCAAAAUGACUCCGUAACUUCGGGAGAAGGAGUGCCUUAUUUAUAAGGUUGCAAUAACAAGAUCCAAGCAACUGUUUAUCAAAAACACAGGUCUCCGCUAAGUCGUAAGACGAUGUAUGGGGGCUGACGCCUGCCCAGUGCCAGAAGGUUAAAGAAGUUGGUUAGCAUUCGCGAAGCUGAUAACUGAAGCCCUGGUGAACGGCGGCCGUAACUAUAACGGUCCUAAGGUAGCGAAAUUCCUUGUCGGGUAAGUUCCGACCCGCACGAAAGGCGUAAUGAUUUGGAUACUGUCUCGGAGAGGGGCUCGGUGAAAUAGACUUGUCUGUGAAGAUGCGGACUACCUGCACCAGGACAGAAAGACCCUAUGAAGCUUUACUGUAACUUGAGAUUGAAAUUGGACUUUACUUGCGCAGUAUAGGUGGGAGGCGUUGAUAAUAUUCUUGCGGGAUUAUUUGAGCCAUCAGUGAGAUACCACUCUUGUAAUGUUAGAUUUCUAACUUUGUAUCAUUAUCUGGUCAAAGGACAGUUUCAGGCGGGCAGUUUGACUGGGGCGGUCGCCUCCUAAACGGUAACGGAGGCGCACAAAGGUUUCCUCUGAACGGGUAGAAAUCGUAUCUAGAGUGUAAAGGCAUAAGGAAGCUUGACUGUGAGACCUACAAGUCGAGCAGGGACGAAAGUCGGUCUUAGUGAUCUGACGGUGCUGAGUGGAAAGGCCGUCACUCAACGGAUAAAAGUUACUCUAAGGAUAACAGGCUGAUCUCCCCCAAGAGUUCACAUCGACGGGGAGGUUUGGCACCUCGAUGUCGGCUCAUCGCAUCCUGGGGCGGUAGUACGUCCCAAGGGUUGGGCUGUUCGCCCAUGAAAGCGGUACGCGAGCUGGGUUCAGAACGUCGUGAGACAGUUCGGUCCAUAUCCGGUGUAGGCGUUAGAAUAUUGAGAGGAGCCUUCUUUAGUACGAGAGGACCGAGAAGGACAUACCUCUGGUGUACCAGUUAUCGUGCCAACGGUAAACGCUGGGUAGCUAUGUAUGGAGUGGAUAACCGCUGAAAGCAUCUAAGUGGGAAGCCCACCUCAAGAUAAGUAUUCCC